Molecule: ribosomal RNA, 666 nt
Filed under: uncultured bacterium
Lineage: Bacteria
Description: bacterial SSU rRNA
Rfam family: Bacterial small subunit ribosomal RNA
Source: RNAcentral
GCUUCGUAAGACAGAGGUGAAAUCCCCUGGCUCAACCUGGGAACUGCCUUUGUGACUGCGAAGCUAGAGUACGGCAGAGGGGGGUGGAAUUCCACGUGUAGCAGUGAAAUGCGUAGAGAUGUGGAGGAACACCGAUGGCGAAGGCAGCCCCCUGGGCCGAUACUGACGCUCAUGCACGAAAGCGUGGGUAGCAAACAGGAUUAGAUACCCUGGUAGUCCACGCCCUAAACGAUGUCAACUAGGUGUUGGGUGGGUAAAACCAUUUAGUACCGUAGCUAACGCGUGAAGUUGACCGCUUGGGGAGUACGGCCGCAAGGUUAAAACUCAAACGGAAUUGACGCGGGACCCGCACAAGCGGUGGAUGAUGUGGAUUAAUUCGAUGCUACGCGAAAAACCUUACCUACCCUUGACAUGUUCAGAAUCCUGGAGAGAUUUGGGAGUGCCCGAAAGGGAGCUGGAACACAGGUGCUGCAUGGCUGUCGUCAGCUCGUGUCGUGAGAUGUUGGGUUAAGUCCCGCAACGAGCGCAACCCUUGUCGUUAAUUGCCAUCAUUUAGUUGGGCACUUUAACGAGACUGCCGGUGACAAACCGGAGGAAGGUGGGGAUGACGUCAAGUCCUCAUGGCCCUUAUGGGUAGGGCUUCACACGUCAUACAAUGGUCGGUAC